Molecule: ribosomal RNA, 253 nt
Filed under: uncultured bacterium
Lineage: Bacteria
Description: partial 16S ribosomal RNA
Rfam family: Bacterial small subunit ribosomal RNA
Source: RNAcentral
AACGUAGGUUCCGAGCGUUAUCCGGAUUUACUGGGCGUAAAGCGCGUUCAGGCGGUUUGGCAAGUCGGGCAUGAAAUCUCUCGGCUCAACCGGGAGAGGUUGUCCGAUACUGCUGGACUUGAGGGCAGUAGAGGGUGGUGGAAUUCCGGGUGUAGUGGUGAAAUGCGUAGAUAUCCGGAGGAACACCAGUGGCGAAAGCGGCCACCUGGACUGCACCUGACGCUGACACGCGAAAGCUAGGGGAGCAAACGGG